RNAcentral lists this ribosomal RNA (257 nucleotides) under Klebsiella pneumoniae. RNAcentral's name for it is "partial 23S ribosomal RNA". It matches the Rfam family "Bacterial large subunit ribosomal RNA", at positions 230 to 525 of the family's 2925-position model. The record is from RNAcentral. RNAcentral also lists the same sequence under 1 other name. Lineage: Bacteria; Pseudomonadati; Pseudomonadota; Gammaproteobacteria; Enterobacterales; Enterobacteriaceae.
CGAGAUUCCCCCAGUAGCGGCGAGCGAACGGGGAGCAGCCCAGAGUCUGAAUCAGCUUGUGUGUUAGUGGAACGGUCUGGAAAGUCCGACGGUACAGGGUGAUAGUCCCGUACACCAAAAUGCACAGGUUGUGAACUCGAAGAGUAGGGCGGGACACGUGGUAUCCUGUCUGAAUAUGGGGGGACCAUCCUCCAAGGCUAAAUACUCCUGACUGACCGAUAGUGAACCAGUACCGUGAGGGAAAGGCGAAAAGAACC